Long non-coding RNA from Bactrocera oleae (olive fruit fly), 2982 nucleotides. RefSeq lists it as uncharacterized. The record is from RefSeq and is a predicted model, not a curated record. NCBI's taxonomy places the organism in Eukaryota, Metazoa, Arthropoda, Insecta, Diptera, Tephritidae.
UCUGAUCUCGUGUUUCGUCUUGUGAUCUUUUUAUACUCUUACAACAUGUUGCUACAGAGUAUAAUAGUUUUGUUCACCUAACGGUUGUUUUUAUCACCUAAAAAUAAUCGAGUUAUAUAAAGGGUUAUGUAUAUAUGUAUAAAUGAUCAGGAUAAUGAGACGAGUUGAAAUCCGCGUGACUGUUUGUCCGUCCGCCCGUCUGUCCGUGCCAGCCCUCUAAAAGGUUUAAAGUACAUAUCUCCUAAACAACUGAAGCUACAAUAAUCAAAUAUGCUUAGGACAAAUCCUAUAAGAACACAGUGUGAAAAUGGAUCAAAUCGGAUUAUAAUCCCGCCCUCUCCCCAUGUAACGAUUUUGUUAAAAACUACUUAAAGCUCAAUAAAGCAGUAACCAAAUGCGCCAGAGACAUUAAAUCUUACACCCAGGACAAGAGGGCUUUAUAGGUGCCGGAUUAAAAUUGGACGAUGGGUGUGGCACCGCCCACAUUUAGGUGAAAUCACAUAUCUCCGGACCUACACGACAAAUUUCAACCAAAUUAUCUGUAACCUGACAACCCUAUGUCGCAUUGCGAAAAUAUGCGGGAUCGGACUACAACCACGCUUACUAUUACCAGCACAAUUUCAAAUUCCAUAUGAUUCUUUCACUUUCCAGUACUCAAAUCAAGUACUAAUUAAUAUAUACGGAUAAAACUUUGCACAUAUAGCGCCUUUGAAGUAUCCUUGCACGUUACAAGAGUAUAAAAUGUUCGGUUACACCCGAACUUAGCCCUUCCUUACUUGUUUUGGUUAAAAUUUUUGAGUAUGAAAUGUUUCGUUACUAAGUUGAAACCAAGGUUCGUUUAAAGGUAGAGCGUUAAUGAACGCAAUUUGGGUUUCUUGUAUGCGUACUGGUCUCAGAAACUCGCACAUUCUUACAGAGGUCUCGAUUAAGAUUAUAGGAACAUGUUGGUAAAAGUAACUAAAGGUCACUCUCCACCCGAUGAUUUUAAAAAAAUUAUGAAAAUUAGAGUAAUCCUUUGAUUGGAAAUAUUCGAGAAGUACAUAUCAAAACAUUUCUUAAGUAAUUCAAACCGAGUAUGAGUAAAAUAAUAGAACCUUAUGCCAACAUGCAAAUACUUAUGUGCAUAAGAAUACAGUACUACUAAAGCUUUAAUUUAUUUAUAUGAAUACAGUAUUGUUUGUAGAAAGUUUUUAAUUUAGAGUCAUUAACCAUUUUUGAACAGAAAAAGAAACUGUUUAGUGAUUAAUUUUAAUUCACCGUAUAGAUGCCUUUUAUAAAAUUUACCUAAUUCUGUUUUUACACGGUUUGAAAAUAAUUUUUUUUUCGUUUUUUACACGAUAUUAUGCCAUUUAGCACGAUUCAAAUUUUUUUGGGCUUACAUUUUAUUUGUCAGAUUUAAUUUUUGCGAAAUAUGUUCAUAUCACAAUCCACUUUUUGUGGAUACAAGCAAGUUUACUAGUCCAAGUAAUUAUAAAUAGCACAAAGUUAUGGGAACGACCAAUGUCUUCUUUUACACGGUUUUUUCUGGAACCAAUCUACCGCGUAAAAACAGAAUUAGAUGUAGUUAUAAUUUAAUGUUUGGGUUUAGCUUAAGAGCAUUUCAUGCUAGGGGCUUAAUGCAGAGAUAUCGCACCACACUCGUUUUAAAUCAGUUUUAUUCAAAAAUAUAUAUAUAUUUUACUUUAGAACACAUUUUUAAUAUUGACUUAACUGUUCAGCGCAAGGAAUUAUAUUAUAAAUAUAAACAGUUGCGAGUUACAAAACUAGAAACUUUGAGUUUUCAUUAGUGGAGGAAUGGGACCAUAGAUAAAUAUGUGUUAGACAAGCGGGUUUGCGUGAGAUAUUUUGGAGCUUUGAAUUUAAUGUACUGCACUCUUUCGAUCAGCUAGAAACACGCCGAAUGUUUUAUUUUAGGGAGUAGGAAAAACUCCAUGGCGUUCUAAAUACAGAUUAUUGAUUCCAGACAAUGUGCUGUAAAAACUCUCCGGUGUAAGUCGACAUUUUUAAAUUGUUAUACUAAAGUGGAUAGAGGACAAUAGUCUUGUUUAAUUUUAUUGAUUUGCAAGGGUUGUCCUAGAAGAGAUACUGAUUAUUGGCGAUCGUUUAGGUAAACUAUUAGACAUAGUGUUUUUGAUCGAGUACUACUAGUGGGUUUUGAAUCUCGUAAAAAAUAAUUAGUUAAAAGCUCUAGUAAUUUGUGGAUUUUGGACGUCACAGUCGGGUCUACUCAACCGGAACGGACAAGGUUUAUAUCCGGCCAAGGACUUAACAUUAUUUGGGGUAUGUUUUAACUCACUACAACAAUAACAAUUACAUAGACCAGACUAGUAAAUGAAUAUCGGGUAUUACAAGAGUUAGCAGAGCUGAUCCGCAAUAUACAGUUACUAACAAUAAAAUAGAAUCAAAUAGAUGGUUUCGCAAUAAUUAACAAUCUUUAUUAUUUGUCCGAUAAAUUUCGGAUACGUUUUAUCUGUAAUCGAUUCCUACAAUGUUUAUCUUUUAAAAGACCAUGAUGGUAGCUCUGCUACAUUUUACUGUUAUCAUUGUGUUCAAAUUAAACAGAAGUGUGCAUUUGUUGUCGUGACAAAAAAAAUACAACCAAGGAAUAAAAAUAUCAAUUAUAGGCGUUAUUUAGUAAACAAUUAUAUUAAGAAAUGGGCCGAGGAAAGCAUUGUACAGCUACAGAGCGUAAGCUCAAUCAAAAUUUGUAAAAUAAUUUAAUUAACCCAAAAGGUAAUUUCAGAAAUUAUAAAAAGAUCCCAAAAAUAUAUGUUUACUGCUUUGAAACCUUCAAAAGAAUGCGAAUUGAGGGGACGGCCACGAAAAACGAGGUCAGAAGAUGACAAUUACAUAGAAAUGUUAUUAAAAUACGAUGUUUUCAAGACCUCUGUAGCUAUCCAAAGAGAAUUAGGUGAGAACUGUUGCGCGUCGCUUUGUAGAAAAUAAUAUCUUCGGAAGGUUGUCCCGGAAAGUCCCAAUGUU